Triticum aestivum (bread wheat) is the source of this 129-nucleotide non-coding RNA. The record is from Rfam. Lineage: Eukaryota; Viridiplantae; Streptophyta; Magnoliopsida; Poales; Poaceae.
UUAGUACUCCCUCCGUCCCAAAACUCUUGUCUUAGAUUUGUCUAGAUACAUCUGUAUCUAACAUGGUGUUAGAUACAUCCGUAUCUAGACAAAUCUAAAACAAGAAUUUUGGAACGGAUGGAGUACAAA